GUUGCAGUCUGUCGAUUGAACGCUGGCGGGAUGCUUUACACAUGCAAGUCGAACGGCAGCACGGGCUUCGGUCUGGUGGCGAGUGGCGAACGGGUGAGUAAUGUAUCGGAACGUUGCCUAAAUAGCGGGGGGAUAACUACGCCGAAAGCGCCAGCUAAUACCGCAUACACCUUCAAGAAGCCAGGGACCGCUGGGGCUCGCACUAUUAAGAGCAGCCGAUAUCGGAUUGGCGUUGGUGGGGUAACUUGGUCACCAAGGUGACGAUCCGUAACUGGUUUUGGGGGAGGACGACCAGCCACACUGGGACUGAGACACGGCCCAGACCUACAGGAAGGAGGCAGCAGUGAAAUUUUUGGACAAUGGGGAAACCUGAUCCAGCCAUCCGCGUGUGCGAUGAAGGCCUUCGGGUUGUAAAGCACUUUUGGCAGGAAGAAGCGGCGGGGAUAAUGCCCGUUACAACUGACAGUACCCUGCAGAAUAAGCACCGGCUAACGUGCCAGCAGCCGCGGUAAUACGUAGGGUGCAAGCGUUAAUCGGAAUUACUGGGCGUAAAGCGUGCGCAGGCGUUCGGAAAAGAAAGAUGUGAAAUCCCAGAGCUUAACUUUGGAACUGCAUUUUUAACUACCGAGCUGAAUAGAGUGUGUCAGAGGGAGGUGGGUCACGUGUAGCAGUGAAAUGCGUAGAUAUGCGGAGGAACACCGAUGGCGAGGCAGCCUCCUGGGAUAACACUGACGCUCAUGCUGGCUUUGUGGGGAGCAAACGGGAUUAGAUACCCUGCGAAGUCCACGCCUAAACGAUGUCAACUAGCUGUUGGGGCCUUCGGGCCUUGGUAGCGCAACUAACGCGUGAGUUGACCGCGCGCCGCAAGGGAGUAUGCAGUCGCAAGAUUAAAACUCAAAGGAAUUGAUUCCCGCACAAGCGGUGGAUGAUGUGGUUAAUUCGAUGCAACGCGAAAAACCUUACCUACCCUUGACAUGUCUGGAAUCCCGAAGAGAUUUGGGAGUGCUCGCAAGAGAACCGGAACACAGGUGCUGCAUGGCUGUCGUCAGCUCAAUGUGUGACGGAUGUUGGGUUAAGUCCGCAACGAGCGCAACCCUUAUGUCAUUGGGUUAUGAAGACGCUCGUGGAACUGCCGAGUGACAAGCCGGAAGGUGGAUGACGUCAGAAUAUGGCCCUUAUGGUGGGGCUUCACGUCAUACAAUGGUCGGGACAGAGGGUCGCCCACCGGAGGGCAAUCCCGAAACCCGAUCAGCGUUGGAUCGCAGUCUGCAACUCGACUGCGUGAAGUCGGAAUCUAUUAAUCGCGGAUCAGCAUGUCGCGGUGAAUACGUUCCCGGGUCUUGUACACACCGCCGUCACACCAUGGGAGUGGGUUUUACCAGAAGUAAUUAGCCUAACCGUAAGGAGGGCGAUUACCGCGGUAGGAUUCGCGGCUGGGGGUGAAGUCGUAACAAGGUAG
Molecule: ribosomal RNA, 1459 nt
Filed under: uncultured Bordetella sp.
Lineage: Bacteria; Pseudomonadati; Pseudomonadota; Betaproteobacteria; Burkholderiales; Alcaligenaceae
Description: partial 16S-23S ribosomal RNA intergenic spacer
Rfam family: Bacterial small subunit ribosomal RNA
Source: RNAcentral